AUAAAUAGCUACCAUGUUAACCACCUUCUUCCACACCCAUUACAAAACAAUUUUGUAUUGUCCCUUUUAUUUUCUGUGUAUAUUUCAAUUUUCUGCCCAGUCAUAUUUUUAUUCGAGUUUUUGAAGCAAAAAUGACUAUCCUCAUUGAGCAGCCUGUGAUUGGGUCACCAGUAGAGAACAAGAACGUUUGUUCUGAUCAAACAAAUGAGUUGGUGUUAGAUGCUGGGUUGGUGGUGCCUAAUGAUGGAAAUGUUGUAUCUGAACUUGUCUCAAACAAUGAAUUCGUUGCCCCUGAAAUCAACUCAUUUGGUCGCUCAUUCAGAGAUUAUGAUGCUGAAAACGAGAGGCAAAAAACUGUGGAGGAGUUCUACCGCAUGAACCACAUUAACCAAACCUAUGACUUUGUGAAGAAGAUGAGAGAGGAGUAUGGAAAGUUGAACAGGGUUGAAAUGAGUAUAUGGGAAUGUUGUGAACUUCUUAAUGAGGUUGUGGAUGACAGUGAUCCUGAUUUGGACGAACCCCAAAUUGAGCACUUGUUACAGACUGCUGAAGCCAUUAGAAAAGACUACCCAGAUGAAGAUUGGCUCCACUUGACCGCUCUUAUUCAUGAUUUGGGAAAGGUUCUGCUUCUUCCAGUGUUUGGGGAACUUCCUCAGUGGGCCGUUGUUGGUGACACUCAUCCUCUGGGGUGUGCUUUUGAUGAAUCUAUAGUCCACCACAAGUAUUUCAAGGAAAACCCAGAUUCGUAUAAUCCUGAAUUCAAUUCAAAGAAUGGAAUUUACUCUGAAGGGUGUGGAUUAGAAAAUAUAAUGAUAUCUUGGGGACACGAUGACUAUAUGUAUUUGGUGGCCAAGGAAAAUGGAUCUACUUUGCCUCAAGCUGGUUUGUUCAUUGUCAGAUAUCACUCAUUCUAUCCUUUACACAAGUGUGGAGCCUAUAAACAAUUCAUGAACAAGGAGGAUGAAGAGAACUUGAAGUGGCUCCAUAUUUUCAACAAGUAUGACCUUUACAGCAAAAGCAAAGUUAGAGUAGAUGUAGAGAAAGUGAAGCCAUAUUAUUUAUCCCUUAUUGAAAAGUAUUUUCCAGCUAAACUCAGAUGGUAAACCUUUGGUGAUUUCGGCAUAUUGGAUCAAGAUUGAGACUACUUUGGAUCAAGGCUUCGUUUUGUUUAUUAGUUUACAGAUAAACAAAUAAUAUUGUGGAGUGGCGGUUAUCUUCGAGUUACAUAUUAUAGAGUUAUGGGAGAUGUGGCUCCUCUGUUUGCAGAAGCUAUAGGCCUGAAGGAAGUUUUAAGUUGGCUGAAGGCACCAGGGAACAGGUUGGGAGACUCAUGUAAUCUUGUGGAUGCCAAAAUCAUUAUUGAAUUGGACUGUUUGCAG
Molecule: RNA transcript, 1379 nt
Organism: Humulus lupulus (European hop)
Lineage: Eukaryota; Viridiplantae; Streptophyta; Magnoliopsida; Rosales; Cannabaceae
Gene name: inositol oxygenase 2
Exons: 11
Source: RefSeq, a predicted model, not a curated record